Molecule: ribosomal RNA, 1254 nt
Filed under: uncultured Acinetobacter sp.
Lineage: Bacteria; Pseudomonadati; Pseudomonadota; Gammaproteobacteria; Moraxellales; Moraxellaceae
Description: bacterial SSU rRNA
Rfam family: Bacterial small subunit ribosomal RNA
Source: RNAcentral
GCUUGCUACCUGACCUAGCGGCGGACGGGUGAGUAAUGCUUAGGAAUCUGCCUAUUAGUGGGGGACAACAUUCCGAAAGGAAUGCUAAUACCGCAUACGCCCUACGGGGGAAAGCAGGGGAUCUUCGGACCUUGCGCUAAUAGAUGAGCCUAAGUCAGAUUAGCUAGUUGGUGGGGUAAAGGCCUACCAAGGCGACGAUCUGUAGCGGGUCUGAGAGGAUGAUCCGCCACACUGGGACUGAGACACGGCCCAGACUCCUACGGGAGGCAGCAGUGGGGAAUAUUGGACAAUGGGCGAAAGCCUGAUCCAGCCAUGCCGCGUGUGUGAAGAAGGCCUUUUGGUUGUAAAGCACUUUAAGCGAGGAGGAGGCUACUUGGAUUAAUACUCUAGGAUAGUGGACGUUACUCGCAGAAUAAGCACCGGCUAACUCUGUGCCAGCAGCCGCGGUAAUACAGAGGGUGCGAGCGUUAAUCGGAUUUACUGGGCGUAAAGCGUGCGUAGGCGGCUUUUUAAGUCGGAUGUGAAAUCCCUGAGCUUAACUUAGGAAUUGCAUUCGAUACUGGGAAGCUAGAGUAUGGGAGAGGAUGGUAGAAUUCCAGGUGUAGCGGUGAAAUGCGUAGAGAUCUGGAGGAAUACCGAUGACGAAGGCAGCCAUCUGGCCUAAUACUGACGCUGAGGUACGAAAGCAUGGGGAGCAAACAGGAUUAGAUACCCUGGUAGUCCAUGCCGUAAACGAUGUCUACUAGCCGUUGGGGCCUUUGAGGCUUUAGUGGCGCAGCUAACGCGAUAAGUAGACCGCCUGGGGAGUACGGUCGCAAGACUAAAACUCAAAUGAAUUGACGGGGGCCCGCACAAGCGGUGGAGCAUGUGGUUUAAUUCGAUGCAACGCGAAGAACCUUACCUGGUCUUGACAUAGUAAGAACUUUCCAGAGAUGGAUUGGUGCCUUCGGGAACUUACAUACAGGUGCUGCAUGGCUGUCGUCAGCUCGUGUCGUGAGAUGUUGGGUUAAGUCCCGCAACGAGCGCAACCCUUUUCCUUAUUUGCCAGCGGGUUAAGCCGGGAACUUUAAGGAUACUGCCAGUGACAAACUGGAGGAAGGCGGGGACGACGUCAAGUCAUCAUGGCCCUUACGACCAGGGCUACACACGUGCUACAAUGGUCGGUACAAAGGGUUGCUACCUAGCGAUAGGAUGCUAAUCUCAAAAAGCCGAUCGUAGUCCGGAUUGGAGUCUGCAACUCGACUCCAUGAAGUC